This is a long non-coding RNA of Hordeum vulgare subsp. vulgare (domesticated barley), 312 nucleotides long. RefSeq lists it as uncharacterized. The record is from RefSeq and is a predicted model, not a curated record. Lineage: Eukaryota; Viridiplantae; Streptophyta; Magnoliopsida; Poales; Poaceae. The transcript is spliced from 3 exons.
AGCCAAGAAGAAGCAGCACAAUCUCUACUCCCACAGACAACAGGAGAUUCUUCACUCCAAUACCAGCAUAAGCGGCAUUUCGGCCGAGAAGAACAUAAGGCUCUUCUCCUAUGCGCAGUUGAGAUCAGCAACAGACAACUUCAACCACAACAAUAAAGUCGGCCGAGGUGGAUUCGGGACAGUAUAUAAGGGAACCCUACAAAACAAGCAAGACGUCGCAGUCAAGGUUCUCUCUGCCGAAUCCAGACAGGGCAUCAGAGAAUUUUUGACAGAAAUUGAUGUUAUCAGCAAUGUGAAGCACCCUAACCUGGU